RNAcentral lists this unclassified non-coding RNA (353 nucleotides) under soil metagenome. RNAcentral describes it as "partial contains 5.8S ribosomal RNA, internal transcribed spacer 2, and large subunit ribosomal RNA". The stretch from base 1 to 120 matches the Rfam family "5.8S ribosomal RNA", at positions 35 to 154 of the family's 154-position model. The record is from RNAcentral.
GAUGAAGAACGUAGCGAAAUGCGAUAAGUAAUGUGAAAUGCAGAAUUCAGUGAAUCAUCGAAUCUUUGAACGCACAUUGCGCCCGCCAGUAUUCUGGCGGGCAUGCCUGUUCGAGCGUCAUUACAACCCUCAGGCCCCCGGGCCUGGCGUUGGGGAUCGGCGGAAGCCCCCUGCGGGCACAACGCCGUCCCCCAAAUACAGUGGCGGUCCCGCCGCAGCUUCCAUUGCGUAGUAGCUAACACCUCGCAACUGGAGAGCGGCGCGGCCACGCCGUAAAACACCCAACUUCUGAAUGUUGACCUCGAAUCAGGUAGGAAUACCCGCUGAACUUAAGCAUAUCAAUAAGCGGAGGA